RNAcentral lists this ribosomal RNA (468 nucleotides) under uncultured bacterium. Its description in RNAcentral is "partial 16S ribosomal RNA". It matches the Rfam family "Bacterial small subunit ribosomal RNA", at positions 28 to 507 of the family's 1533-position model. The record is from RNAcentral.
GACGAACGCUGGCGGCGUGCUUAACACAUGCAAGUCGAACGGAAAGGCCCUGCUUUUGUGGGGUGCUCGAGUGGCGAACGGGUGAUUAACACGUGAGUAACCUGCCCUUGACUUUGGGAUAACUUCAGGAAACUGGGGCUAAUACCGGAUAGGAGCUCCUGCUGCAUGGUGGGGGUUGGAAAGUUUCGGCGGUUGGGGAUGGACUCGCGGCUUAUCAGCUUGUUGGUGGGGUAGUGGCUUACCAAGGCUUUGACGGGUAGCCGGCCUGAGAGGGUGACCGGCCACAUUGGGACUGAGAUGCGGCCCAGACUCCUACGGGAGGCAGCAGUGGGGAAUAGUGCACAAUGGGCGGAAGCCUGAUGCAGCAACGCCGCGUGCGGGAUGACGGCCUUCGGGUUGUAAACCGCUUUCGCCUGUGACGAAGCGUGAGUGACGGUAAUGGGUAAAGAAGCACCGGCUAACUACGUG